UGAUGGCAGGCAGGGACAGCUGAGA
This 25-nucleotide unclassified non-coding RNA is filed under the name Mus musculus (house mouse). Its description in RNAcentral is "oocyte_clustered_small_RNA301". Lineage: Eukaryota; Metazoa; Chordata; Mammalia; Rodentia; Muridae. The record is from RNAcentral.